Molecule: ribosomal RNA, 379 nt
Filed under: uncultured eukaryote
Lineage: Eukaryota
Description: partial 18S ribosomal RNA
Rfam family: Eukaryotic small subunit ribosomal RNA
Source: RNAcentral
CAAUAGCGUAUAUUAAAGUUGUUGCGGUUAAAAAGCUCGUAGUUGGAUUUCUGCCGAGGACGAUCGGUCCGCCCUCUGGGUGAGUAUCUGGUUCGGCCUUGGCAUCUUCUUGGAGAACGUUACUGCACUUGAUUGUGUGGUGCGGUAUCCAGGACUUUUACUUUGAGGAAAUUAGAGUGUUUCAAGCAGGCACACGCCUUGAAUACAUUAGCAUGGAAUAAUAAGAUAGGACGUUGGUUCUAUUUUGUUGGUUUCUAGAGCUGACGUAAUGAUUAAUAGGGAUAGUUGGGGGCAUUCGUAUUUAACUGUCAGAGGUGAAAUUCUUGGAUUUGUUAAAGACGAACUACUGCGAAAGCAUUUGCCAAGGAUGUUUNCAUUG